This 866-nucleotide non-coding RNA is filed under the name Rhabdopleura sp. NHMO H2136. Lineage: Eukaryota; Metazoa; Hemichordata; Pterobranchia; Rhabdopleurida; Rhabdopleuridae. The record is from RNAcentral.
UGAGUAUGUGAUUCUCGUACUUAUUUCUAGUUUUCUUUUAUGGUCCUUAUGCUUUUGAAUACUUAGUUGAGGGGAGGUGUCUAUGCAGAGGGGGAGGCUAGAAGAUCUUAUAGGAAGUGUUCUGGUUAUUAGAUUUUAGAGUGGCAAAUGGGAGUGCCAGCAGCCGCGGUAAUACUUGUUCUCUGAUUAGGGGUAAGGUGGUGUAAAAUUUGAUUUUUUUUUGUUAGGUUAGUAAAUAUUUGGCUUUGAUUUUAGUGAAAUUUGUCUUAGUUGAAUUUUUUUUUGUGUUUUUAAUAUUUUUACUUUUCAAAGGUUUAGGGUAUAAACCAGGAUUAGAUACCCUGUUAUUCCUUUUUAAACUUAAAUUUAGAUUUAAAUUUUAUCUUUUUACCGGGUUAGUAGAUUUUUUUUUUAAAAAUUGAACGUCAAAGGAUUUGGCGGUUGAAUGAUCUUUUUAGAGGGGCUCGAUUUUUAAUUUGAUGGUCCGCGUGAAACCUUACUUAUUUCUUGUUAAAUUAGUUAGUGUAUUGCCGUUUAGAUUCAGUUUUAUUAUUGAGGUAUGUUUUCUUUGGAAUUUUUUUUUCUUAAUUUCAGGUCGUAAUUCUGCUUAUGAUUUAGGGUAGAUUGAGUUACAAUUAGUUUUUUUCUAUAUAAGGAGGGAAGUUUUGUAAGUUUUCUUUUUCAAGUUUACCUACUAGAAUUUAAUAGUAAUAACUUCGGUAAAAUGGGGUUGUGAAUUUGGUCUAUUUUUCGCACAUAUCGCCCGUCGCGCUGACUUUGUUGGGAGUACUUUAAAAUCCCUUAAAAAAUUGUUGUUGGCUAAGUCGUAACAUGGUAGAGUUACGUGAACGUAACUCUGGGAGUGA